UGCUGUAAGGCGCGCGUGAAACGCCUUUUGUGAGGAGCACAUUCGGUCUUCACUCAGAGGCGCUCACAGGUACAUCCACCGUGAAUUGAAAACAUCUCCUGUGAAAAAUAAGUACGAGAGAUCUGUGCGCGUGAGGUCAGUGUGAGGCGCCCUUUGUGAGGAAAAGAUUUAGUCUCGGUAGAAGAUUCCAGCUCCAUAGGUCAGUGCUGUUAGAAUAGACAACAUCAGAUCCGCUGCACAAGUGGCACAUGCGAGUCGUCGGAAGACCAAUUGCUGGAGGUAACGUGCCGGCGAAGACCUAUUGUCUAUUGAUCAGAGCAUCGUCGGGAAGACCUGAUAUUGGUGGUGUGGGUAUAGUAUAGAUGGAGGAUAUGGCCAUCUUGCACAUGGUGGAUUCGAGGUUGAAUGGGAAGAAUGAUUAGAGGUGGUGAUUGUGCUCAUGUUGGGUUGAUUGUCCUCACUGUGUCUCAUCUGCACCACGUUCAACCAUGAGACAGGUUGCCAGGUACUAUGCAGGAGAAAUCAGGAUGCCAGAAGAUUUGAGCGGGCUUGGAGAGUACGAAGCAGCGAAGAAUGAGGACUGAGGAGGGGUAGGUUUAUUAAUGAUUUUAUACAUUUCUAUUCGUUGUGGACUGAGAAGAUAGGUUUGCAUUCUUUCACGGGUGCUGGAGAUGGUGAAGCAGCAAACAGAGCUUACCAAGCCGUUGAGGAUGCAAAAACCAUGUCGUUCCAUCGAAGAAAUGGUGACUAGCGACGGGCUUGAACCAGAGGAUUGGCGCUAUUACGAACGUAGAUACCUUGCUCGACAGCUCGAGCAAUGGUGCGAACUGCGAAGUGCCUUACCACUCGUCGUGUAAGAGGUCACACGCGUGAAGAACUUCACAUGCUUAAUCUAGUUUUGUCCACAGAAGAUCCGGACUCCCAACGUCGCUUCAGCCUGCAUGUCCUUUUCUUUUACUUGGAACGUCAAGUCUUACAUGUAUAGUUGAGUGGAAUCACUGAGAUGGGUGGACGAAGGCCAUAAUUCAGAGAUGAUGGACAGUUCGGUUCCAGAGCAGCAACAACAAGAAGGGAGCCGGUUGAAAGAACGGAUUGUUUUUGGACUUCGCCGAAUCGCCAUAGGGUUGACGCCUCCUCCCCGAUAUGAAUCACGGGCUUGCUCUGUUACUUAUCUGCGCUCUCAUGCCCAUAUUAACGCUAUGAUUAGAUCUUUGAGGAAGGCUUUUGUACUGCAAUGCAGUGUUUUUUUGAACACCACUUACUCAAAUUAGCCCAAAGAAGACAUGGGAAGGAGCGACUGCAGGCUUUAAUGGCUGUAUAGCUAGUGCACUUCUGUUAUCAAAGAUGCUUUCCUGGCUAACAUCUUUAUUAAGGUGGCAUACUUGACAGAGUGGACAGCUACAUCUUCACUGGUGCACUUGCAUACUCCUCUGUCAAAACGUUACGGCAAGCCAACGUUUCUGGUUCUCAAUUGGGAAACUGUAUCGCAAUUGAGGUAAAAAAAUGCAGCAAGUUUCAGAAUGUGUGCUAGUGGGCGAGGAGAGCAUCAACAAGUGUACGUACAUCCUCUGAGAAGGAAGCUGAGAACCAGCUGAAGUGGUUCUCUGUAUAACCCUGUUGAAGAAAAUACUUGGUUUAUGUGUUUACUCAUUUUUCAUUAGUUCGAUGAUACUUGGAUUCGAUGUUCCUCUCAAUGUGAACCAGAACGAGGUCAAGAACUUGAGGCCUGUAUUGGGUUUCUACAAUGGGUCCACUUCAUAAUGUGAAAUUUCAUAUGGUUGCUUGCAGGGUCUAUUGCUGGAUC
Nelumbo nucifera (sacred lotus) is the source of this 1804-nucleotide non-coding RNA. The record is from RefSeq and is a predicted model, not a curated record. Lineage: Eukaryota; Viridiplantae; Streptophyta; Magnoliopsida; Proteales; Nelumbonaceae.